GUGAGGAAUAUUGGUCAAUGGACGAGAGUCUGAACCAGCCAAGUCGCGUGAAGGAAGACGGUUCUAUGAAUUGUAAACUUCUUUUGUGCAGGAAUAAAGUGGGUUACGUGUAACCUUUUGUAUGUACUGUACGAAUAAGGAUCGGCUAACUCCGUGCCAGCAGCCGCGGUAAUACGGAGGAUCCGAGCGUUAUCCGGAUUUAUUGGGUUUAAAGGGUGCGUAGGUGGAUUGAUAAGUCAGCGGUGAAAGUUUGCAGCUUAACUGUAAAAUUGCAGUUGAAACUGUCGGUCUUGAGUGCAAAUGAGGUAGGCGGAAUGUGUUGUGUAGCGGUGAAAUGCUUAGAUAUAACACAGAACUCCGAUUGCGAAGGCAGCUUACUGGGAUGCAACUGACACUGAUGCACGAAAGCGUGGGUAUCAAACAGGAUUAGAAACCCGGGUAGUCC
Molecule: ribosomal RNA, 445 nt
Filed under: uncultured bacterium
Lineage: Bacteria
Description: partial 16S ribosomal RNA
Rfam family: Bacterial small subunit ribosomal RNA
Source: RNAcentral